UGCCCCAUGGCUGAGUUGGUUACAGCGUCCGACUGUUACAGCCAACAUCGGAAGGUCGAGAGUUCGAGCCUCUCUGGGGCAG
Molecule: transfer RNA, 82 nt
Filed under: Lentinula lateritia
Lineage: Eukaryota; Fungi; Basidiomycota; Agaricomycetes; Agaricales; Omphalotaceae
Description: tRNA-Asn
Rfam family: tRNA
About the family: Transfer RNA (tRNA) molecules are approximately 80 nucleotides in length.
Source: RNAcentral